UGGGGAAUAUUGCACAAUGGAGGGAACUCUGAUGCAGCGACGCCGCGUGAACGAAGAAGGCUUUCGAGUCGUAAAGUUCUUUUAUAUGGGAAGAUAAUGACGGUACCAUAAGAAAAAGCCCCGGCUAACUACGUGCCAGCAGCCGCGGUAAUACGUAGGGGGCUAGCGUUGUCCGGAAUCACUGGGCGUAAAGGGUUCGCAGGCGGACAUGCAAGUCAGGUGUAAAAGGCAGUAGCUUAACUACUGUAAGCAUUUGAAACUGAAUAUCUUGAGAAGAUUCGAGGUAGGUGGAAUUAUUUGUGUAGCGGUGAAAUGCGUAGAUAUUAAAGAGAAUACCGGUGGCGAAGGCGACUUACUGGGCUCAUUCUGACGCUGAGGAACGAAAGCGUGGGUAGCAAGCAGG
Molecule: ribosomal RNA, 403 nt
Filed under: bacterium
Lineage: Bacteria
Description: partial 16S ribosomal RNA
Rfam family: Bacterial small subunit ribosomal RNA
Source: RNAcentral